UUUCCGUAGGUGAACCUGCGGAAGGAUCAUUAAUGAGUUGUCAUGGGGUUCGAUGCUGGCAGCCAAUUUUUGGAUGCAUGUGCUUGCCCUAACAAUCAUCUUCCAAACACCUGUGCACAUUUUUGAGGGAGUCUUGAGUUGGUUGCCGCUCUUGGGUGAUUUUCUCACAUUCCCUUAAAUCAUUAUACGCUAUUAACAAUGUUGAACGUGCUCUGUGCCGCAAGGCUAUUAAUAUAAUACAACUUUUAACAACGGAUCUCUUGGCUCUCGCAUCGAUGAAAACGCGC
This 287-nucleotide unclassified non-coding RNA is filed under the name plant metagenome. RNAcentral's name for it is "partial contains small subunit ribosomal RNA, internal transcribed spacer 1, and 5.8S ribosomal RNA". The record is from RNAcentral.